Cyprinus carpio carpio is the source of this 357-nucleotide long non-coding RNA. The record is from Ensembl. Lineage: Eukaryota; Metazoa; Chordata; Actinopteri; Cypriniformes; Cyprinidae.
CUAGAUUUCUAUCAGUAGAACAUCACAUUUUUCUUUUCUGUUUGCAGGAAGAUUUGGUGUUGAUGGAGGAGGCAACAUCUUCAAGGCAAAACCUUAGACCUGAUGCAACAUCAUCCAGUGUCAAAAUCACCCUUUAGGAGUGAGGAGGAUGUGAUUCGUCAUGCAGCAGCACAGAUAAACACCACAAAGACAUCUGAAGUCUGUCACGAGAUAACACGUCUGAAGUUGUGGAAACAUAAAAAACCAGGAAUUCCAGUCAAUCCCCUGAAAAUCACCUUCCUUGGAGAGCCUGUAAAAAUAAAUAAAUAAAAUUAUAUGUAUAUAAAGCUAAAAACAAUAAAGCAAAAUGUACAGCUC